AUGAAUAAUUUUAAUGUAGACAAAUAUGAUGCAUUUCAAUAUAAUAACAUUAAUAUUGAAAGUAAUAAAAAUAAAAAUAAUAUGAAUGAAAAAAAAUAUCAAUCAGCUUAUUAUUCUUUUGUAAAAAAUGAUGAUUAUGGUAGUAAUAUAUAUAAUAAGAAUAGUUCAUAUUAUAGGGAUAAAAAAAAAGAAGAUAAACAUAAUAAUACUACUAAACAUAUAAAUAUAACAAUAAAUAAAGAGUUAGUAGAUACCUUAUCAAUUGAAGAACUUUUAAAAGUUUUAGAAAAAUAUGAUAAAAUGGGAGUACAUAAAGAAAUGAACGGAAUAGACAACUGUGAAGAAAUGAAUAGAACAGACAACUGUGAAGAAAUGANNNNNNNNNNAAAAAAAGAAAAAGUAUAUACAUAUAUAAAAAAACAUGAAAAUACGGAAAUGUUGUCAUACGAAAAUAUUUUAAACGAAGUAAACAUAGUAACAGCAUAUCAUAGAAUAGCUAAACACAUUAAAAAUAAAAAUUAUUUUAUUAAUAAAACUGCAAAAGAUGAAAAAGAAAUAAUUGGUACAUGCUAUGAUGAUAUAACUUUUAGUUUGUUUAAAAAAUAUACAAAUAUAAAUAAUGAAAAGAGUAAUACUUUUAAAUAUACAAAGUCUUCUUUAGGCAAUACAUAUGCGACUGUCAGUGAUGGGUCUGUAAGUAAUGGAGCUGUAAGUGAUAUGACUGUAAGUGAUAUGACUAUAAGUGAUAAUAAAAAAAUAAACAACUCCGAAUGUAAUAAAAAAAGUUUAACUUUACAUGACUUAACAAACUAUGAUCAUACCAAUUUAUGUAACAUAAAUAUUUAUAAGAAUAUAUAUAUAUUGUUAAAAAAAAUGUUAAUAAAUAAUAGUAUAGUUACAUCGAAACAUAUUGCUAAUAUAACAUGGGCUUCGUGUAUUUUAUCAAAUGAAGAUGAUGCAUUAUGGUUAAUUAUUAAAAAAAUUUUUUAUAAAGAUAUAAAUAAAUUUAAAGCUCAAGAAGUGUCAGCUAUUUUAUGGUCAUUUAGUGCAUCGAAAAAAAGUUUUAUCGAUUCGGAUGAAGAGUUUAUAAUUUUAUAUAAAUGUUUAGAAGAUCAUAUAAUAAAUAAAACAUUCAAACCCCAAGAGUUUAGUAAUAUAAUGUGGGCUUUUGCAGUAUCUAACUAUUGUAAUUAUGAUUUAAUAGUUCUUUUAUAUAAUUAUGCAUUAGAAAUGUUUGAUAAUUUAUUGUUUAAAGAUAUAGCAACUGUCUUAUAUAGUUUAUCUAUUUUUGCAUCUGAUUCAAUAAAUAAAAAUAUUUUAACUGCUAUUAAAUUUAAUCAUUUGGAGCAAUAUAGGUUUGUAUAUGAUUAUUUAACAGUUGGGAAAAAAAAAAACACACAAACAGAAAUGGGUGAUAUAAAUAAAGGUAAAGAUAUACAUAAUGUGUCAGUAAAUGAUAAAAACAAUGAACCAUCUAAUACAAAUAAAUGCAAACAGAAUUUUACAUAUUUUAUUAAUCCAUUUGAUGAAGAAAAGAAAUAUCAAGUGAAUAAUUUAAUAUAUGACAAUAAAUUGAAUGAAAAAAAAUAUACAUUUUUUUUAUUAUUUGAAAACUUUUUAUUAUAUUCUAUGAAUAAAAUAAAAAAAGAAAAAGCUAAAAUAACUAUGCGAGUAUGGGCUAAUUUGUUUUGGUCAUGUGCAAGUAUAGGGUUAGGUUUAUAUACAGAUAAUUAUACCCAACACCCGUUGAGUUAUUAUUUAUAUUUUUUACAGAAUGAAGAAAUUGAUUCGGUAGUUGAUGGUGGUAGUAGUGGUAGUGGUGGUAGUAGUGGUAGUGGUGGUAGUAGUGGUGGUAGUAGUGGCAGUAGUGGUGAUAGUAAUGGCAGUAGUGGUGACAAACCGAACGAAAUUAAUUAUUCUAAAUUUAUGAGCGCAUUAAACAAUAAAGGAAUAAAUAAGUACGAAACAAUUAAUAAGAAUAAAAUAUUACUAGAUUUGCUUACUGUGUUUGAAGAUGAAAUAAAAGAAAAAAAAAAAAAAAUAAUAAAAAAAUGCGAUGUACAAUCUAUGGCUAACAUAUUAUGGAGCUUAUCAAUUUUAAAUAUAUUUUCAAAAGAUAUAUUUAACAAUUUUAUAACAGAAUGUAACAAAUUAUUUCUUAAAUUUGGUAAAAAGAAAAAUAACACAAGAUUAAAUUAUUUUAUAUCACAGUUACACCAAUCACAAAUAUAUCAAGCGGCAUUUUCGUACUGUCUCUAUUUAUUAAGCAAAGAAGUAUCAGCAAAAAAUUGUAACACAUCGUUGUCUGUGAAAAAUAACCGGAAAACUGACUUGAAAACAAACUCUUUUGCUUUUAUAAAAAAAAAAAUGGAAAAUAUUUUUACAAAUAAAUUAAAAAUUUCAUUAUAUACACUAAAUAUAUGGAAAAAACAAUUAGCUAGAAAUCAAAGAAAAGAAGAAAAAAAUAAUAUAUCAUCUUCAGUACAUAAAAAAAUAUCAAAUGAUUUAAAAAAAUUAAACAUAUACCAUUAUAAUGAAUAUUUUAUUUUUAAUUCAAUUCUGGUUGAUAUAUAUAUACCUGAUUCAAAGCUUGUUAUCGAACUGGAUGGACCUAGCCACUUUUUUCAAAGAGGAAAAAUAAUUGUUUAUAAACCGAAUACUUUAUUUAAAAAAAGAUUACUAAGAGCUCUUGGUUUUAUUGUUAUAUCUAUUUCAAUUACAGAUCAUACAUUCAUGUUUAGUGGAUUAAAUACAGUGGAAAUUACUAAAAAAUUCUUAAAUAAAGUAAAUUGGGGUUAUCCUUAAGAUAAAUGGCGAACAUAUACAUAUACACAUACAUGUAUACGUGUCUGUAUAUAUAUACUUAUACAUGUAUACGUGUCUGUAUAUAUGUACUUAUACAUGUAUNNNNNNNNNNCAUGUCUGUAUAUAUGUACUUAUACAUGUAUACGUGUCUGUAUAUAUAUACUUUUUUUUUUUUUUUUUUUUUUUGUGUUUUUUAAUAUUUAUAAAUAUGUUUAUUUCUUAUGUUUAUAAAAGUAUAAUUCCAUUUGGUUUAAUAACAGUUAUUGGUUUAUAUGUUUUAACACACAGUUUUGUUUGUUUAUUUAAUUACUUAAUUAUUUAACCACUGAAUUAUUUAAUUAUAAAUUCAUCUACUUGUCUAUGUAUCCAUAUAUACAUAUACCCAUAUAUACAUAUAUCCAAUUUUUAAAACACUUUCCAUCACUUA
Molecule: long non-coding RNA, 3232 nt
Filed under: Piliocolobus tephrosceles (Ugandan red Colobus)
Lineage: Eukaryota; Metazoa; Chordata; Mammalia; Primates; Cercopithecidae
Description: lncRNA (ENSPTEG00000023109.1)
Source: RNAcentral